This 84-nucleotide transfer RNA is filed under the name Coemansia sp. IMI 203386. RNAcentral's name for it is "tRNA-Ser". It matches the Rfam family "tRNA". From Rfam's summary of the family: Transfer RNA (tRNA) molecules are approximately 80 nucleotides in length. Their secondary structure includes four short double-helical elements and three loops (D, anti-codon, and T loops). Further hydrogen bonds mediate the characteristic L-shaped molecular structure. tRNAs have two regions of fundamental functional importance: the anti-codon, which is responsible for specific mRNA codon recognition, and the 3' end, to which the tRNAs corresponding amino acid is attached (by aminoacyl-tRNA synthetases). tRNAs cope with the degeneracy of the genetic code in two manners: having more than one tRNA (with a specific anti-codon) for a particular amino acid; and 'wobble' base-pairing, i.e. permitting non-standard base-pairing at the 3rd anti-codon position. RNAcentral also lists the same sequence under 5 other names. The record is from RNAcentral. Lineage: Eukaryota; Fungi; Kickxellomycota; Kickxellomycetes; Kickxellales; Kickxellaceae.
GGAAAAAUCGCCUAAUGGUAUGGCAAUAGUUUGCUAAACUGUGCAUCUUAUAGAUGCUUGGGGGUUCGAAUCCCCUUUUUUCCG